Molecule: long non-coding RNA, 764 nt
Organism: Cervus elaphus (red deer)
Lineage: Eukaryota; Metazoa; Chordata; Mammalia; Artiodactyla; Cervidae
Exons: 3
Source: RefSeq, a predicted model, not a curated record
CGACGGAGGACGAGAUGGUUGGAUGGCAUCACGGACUCAAUGGACUUAAAACAUAAAUUCUGGAUUCCGUACUAGACGCUCCAUCAGGUGAUUCCCCUCGGUGUGGAGAAGCCAUUCACAGGUUCCAGGAGUCAUGUUGCAAUGUCCGGGAGCUGAUGAUGCAAUGUCCAAGACUCAGGCAUUUGGUGAAGAUAGCAGAUUCUGGAAAAGCUUCUCCAUCGCGCUCCCCACCCCGACACCCACUCUCAUUUUCCUGAAGAGCUCUUGUGGUUUUUAAACAAAGGAGAGAGACCCAAGUGUGAAAUUUCCUUUGUUCCAUCUGAGGCGUGAAGCUGAAAGGGCAUAGGUGUGCCGUCUGCACUGACAGAGGAAUGAUGGGGAGGCGAGAGGAAUCUCGAAGUUUCCAUAUGCUGAGGAGUUUGUGGAAGAGCUUGACACCAACUGCGCCUUUUCGAGCAGAGCUUGUUCUGCACCGAUCCGAUGUGUCUCAAGAGGCCCAUAAAAUUUCCCCUACAUUUUGUCCACCCGUGGAUACUGCGACCUGACGUGACCCAAGCAGAGAUCCGUCUUGGCAGUGCUUUCAGAGGGGACUGAGCGUCCGGGCUGGCUGAAUUGACGGUGUUUGGUUUAGUCAGGGAUGAUGGCUUCUGGUGGGAGUGGGAGGCAGGCCGUGCGGGGAGCCGUGAACUUUGUCACAGAGUAGUGACUUCUGUAACAUUCACAGCGGUUCCUUCCAGUCCUGUCGGAAUGAGCCGGAGUGACUA